Molecule: ribosomal RNA, 468 nt
Filed under: uncultured bacterium
Lineage: Bacteria
Description: partial 16S ribosomal RNA
Rfam family: Bacterial small subunit ribosomal RNA
Source: RNAcentral
GACGAACGCUGGCGGCGUGCUUAACACAUGCAAGUCGAACGGAAAGGCCCUGCUUUUGUGGGGUGCUCGAGUGGCGAACGGGUGAGUAACACGUGAGUAACCUGCCCUUGACUUUGUGAUAACUUCAGGAAACUGGGGCUAAUACCGGGUAGGAGCUCCUGCUGCAUGUUAGGGGUUGGAGAGUUUCGGCGGUUGGGGAUGGACUCGCGGCUUAUCAGCUUGUUGGUGGGGUAGUGGCUUACCAAGGCUUUGACGGGUAGCCGGCCUGAGAGGGUGACCGGCCACAUUGGGACUGAGAUACGGCGCAGACUCCUACGGGAGGCAGCAGUGGGGAAUAUUGCACAGUGGGCGGAAGCCUGAUGCAGAAACGCCGCGUGCGGGAUGACGGCCUUCGGGUUGUAAACCGCUUUCGCCUGUGACGAAGCGUGAGUGACGGUAAUGGGUAAAGAAGCACCGGCUAACUACGUG